This 604-nucleotide unclassified non-coding RNA is filed under the name Trichophyton benhamiae. RNAcentral's name for it is "contains 16S-23S intergenic spacer region". The record is from RNAcentral. Lineage: Eukaryota; Fungi; Ascomycota; Eurotiomycetes; Onygenales; Arthrodermataceae.
CCAGGGGUGUGCAGAGUGCGCCGGCUUACGCCCAUCUGUACUUACUCGGUUGCUCGGCGGGCCGCGCUUCUGGGAGAGUCCUUCCGGCGAGCCUCUUUGGGGGCUUUAGCUGGAUCGCGCCCGCCGGAGGACAGACAUCAAAAAAUCUUGGAAAGCUGUUAGUCCCGAUCGUUAGCAAGUAAAAUAGUUAAAAUUUCCAACACCGGAAUAUUGUAUUUGUUCCCCUGAUGAUCGCAGAGUUUUGGGUUUUGUUAUGCUAAUUGCCCAGGGCGGAGAAACAUGAAACGGAGGAACCAAUUCCGCGCUUGAUGGUGUUUUACCUGAGACGUAUGAUGUUGGAGCCCAUUUUCACUAUGUUUUAUCAUUAUGAGCUGUAUUAGCCWUUAUAGCAGGAUUAGUUCAAUGAUUUGCUCUUUUUACAGGAUUGGCCCUUAAUAAUAAACUUUUAAAUGUUCAAUUGAUUACUAUAUUUAUUGGAGUAAAUGUAACCCUUUUUCCCCAUCAUUUUCUUGGAUUAGAAGAAUACCUCGACGUUAUUCAGAUUACCCUGAUGUAUAUAGACAAUGAAAUAUUGUUUCAUCUUUCGGAUCCCUUGAUCCUUUAA